Dreissena polymorpha is the source of this 440-nucleotide long non-coding RNA. RefSeq lists it as uncharacterized. The transcript is spliced from 2 exons. The record is from RefSeq and is a predicted model, not a curated record. NCBI's taxonomy places the organism in Eukaryota, Metazoa, Mollusca, Bivalvia, Myida, Dreissenidae.
GUGAUCCGAAAUAGUAAAAUGGUUUUCGGAUGAUAACUCAAGAACGCAUACGCUUAGGAUCAUGAAACUUCAUGGGUAGAUUGAUCAUGACUCGCAGAUGACCCCUAUUGAUUUUGAGGUCACUAGGUCAAAGGUCAAGGUCACGGUGACCCGAAAUAGUAAAAUGGUUUCCGGAUGAUAACUCAAGAACGCAUACGCCUAGGAUCAUGAAACUUCAUGGGUAGAUUGAUCAUGACUCGCAGAUGACCCCUAUUAAUUUUGAGGUCACUAGGUCAAAGGUCAAGGUCACGGUGACCCGAAAUAGUAAAAUGGUUUCCGGAUGAUAACUCAAGAACGCAUACGCCUAGGAUCAUGAAACUUCAUAGGUAGAUUGAUCAUGACUUGCAGAUGACCCCUAUUGUUUUUGAGGUCACUAGGUCAAAGGUCAAGGUCACGGUGAC